CUCUGUAAUAAUUUCUGUCACGGACCCGGUUCCGGGGACUCGGGGUUCGUGAACAGUGUGGACCUUUAUUGUUAUUAGUGUAUUGGAUGUAUGUUUGCUGCACUGUGUUCUUGUGUUCAAUGCUGGUGUGUGUGUGUGUGUGUGUGUGUGUGUGUGUGUGAGGCUGGAGGAUGAAGGACAGCCACCUGCAGGCCUGAUGGGUGUGGCCCUGCCAGCUGCUGGUCACGCCUAGCUUACCACACACCUGCUUCUGAUCAGGAUCGUCGGGGGAGCUACUUAACAGAGCGAUGGAGCUUCCUCCGGCGCAGGAUCGUUGAGUUAGACUCCAUGAGAGUGGAACACAGGACGGCAAGACACACGGGGUGUGUGAAGGCACAGGGG
Astatotilapia calliptera (eastern happy) is the source of this 381-nucleotide long non-coding RNA. The record is from Ensembl. NCBI's taxonomy places the organism in Eukaryota, Metazoa, Chordata, Actinopteri, Cichliformes, Cichlidae.